This 311-nucleotide ribosomal RNA is filed under the name uncultured Bacillota bacterium. Its description in RNAcentral is "bacterial SSU rRNA". It matches the Rfam family "Bacterial small subunit ribosomal RNA", at positions 28 to 351 of the family's 1533-position model. The record is from RNAcentral. Lineage: Bacteria; Bacillati; Bacillota.
GAUGAACGCUGGCGGCGUGCCUAACACAUGCAAGUCGAGCGAACCCUUCGGGGUGAGCGGCGGACGGGUGAGUAACGCGUGGGUAACCUGCCCUGUACACACGGAUAACAUACCGAAAGGUAUGCUAAUACGAGAUAAUAUGUUUGAUCGCAUGGUCGAGACAUCAAAGCUCCGGCGGUACAGGAUGGACCCGCGUCUGAUUAGCUAGUUGGUGAGGUAAUGGCUCACCAAGGCGACGAUCAGUAGCCGACCUGAGAGGGUGAUCGGCCACAUUGGAACUGAGACACGGUCCAAACUCCUACGGGAGGCAG